Legionella massiliensis is the source of this 76-nucleotide regulatory RNA element. It matches the Rfam family "RAGATH-32 RNA". From Rfam's summary of the family: Legionellales (_-Proteobacteria). Nearby to self-cleaving ribozyme genes The record is from Rfam. Lineage: Bacteria; Pseudomonadati; Pseudomonadota; Gammaproteobacteria; Legionellales; Legionellaceae.
GUGGCGGGACAUUUAGUCGGGAACCCUCAGGAAUCCUUACCGUUCGGUAAGGCGAGUUUUUCGGAACUCUAAGUCA